ACGAACGCUGGCGGCAUGCCUAACACCUGCAAGUCGAACGAGACCUUCGGGUCUAGUGGCGUACGGGUGCGUAACGCGUGCGAACCUGCCCUUAGGUUCGGAAUAACUCCCCGAAAGGGGUGCUAAUACCGGAUAAUGUCUUCGGACCAAAGAUUUAUCGCCUUUGGAUGGGCCCGCGUUGGAUUAGCUAGUUGGUAGGGUAAAAGCCUACCAAGGCGACGAUCCAUAGCUGGUCUGAGAGGAUGAUCAGCCACACUGGGACUGAGACACGGCCCAGACUCCUACGGGAGGCAGCAGUGGGGAAUAUUGGACAAUGGGCGAAAGCCUGAUCCAGCAAUGCCGCGUGAGUGAUGAAGGCCUUAGGGUUGUAAAGCUCUUUUACCCGGGAUGAUAAUGACAGUACCGGGAGAAUAAGCUCCGGCUAACUCCGUG
RNAcentral lists this ribosomal RNA (432 nucleotides) under uncultured bacterium. Its description in RNAcentral is "partial 16S ribosomal RNA". It matches the Rfam family "Bacterial small subunit ribosomal RNA", at positions 29 to 507 of the family's 1533-position model. The record is from RNAcentral.